Molecule: ribosomal RNA, 1284 nt
Filed under: unidentified
Description: Epeorus sp. 02 ZXM-2022a 16S ribosomal RNA
Rfam family: Bacterial large subunit ribosomal RNA
Source: RNAcentral
AAGUUAGAAUUAGCAAAAAGGUUGAGUUUACAGAAUUGGGUUGUGCAAAUCAAUGUGAAGGAUGAGGUUUUAGUAAAGGGUAGAAAAAGAAUAUAUUUAGUGAUAGAGUUGUACCGUGAGGGAAUAUUGAAAUAUUUGAAAAUGUGUUUGUGAAAAAGUAGACGUAGUGUUGUACCUUUUGUAUCAGGGUUUAAUAAUUAGAUUAAGAGAUCUUAAAGUCUCGAUAUAAGGAGUGCUAUAAAUUUAAUAUAGUUUAGGUAGCAAACUAAUUAUACAUAAAUUUAUAGUAAUGAAAUAUUAGCCGGUCCUUAAGGUAUCUAGUUCUUUAAGAAAUGAAUUUAAUUCAGGGAUUAUUAGAGGUUGGAGUCUUAAUCUUUGAGUUUAUAAUAAUCCUAAUAUUGUGGGGGAUAAGCUCCGCAAUGUUAUUAAAACAACAAGUUUUUGAAAAUGAGUAGGCUUGAAAGUAGCCACCUAUUUAAGAAUGUUAUAAUUUAUUUUCUAAAGAUUUAAUUUUAAAGAGUUUAAGGAAUGUAUUAAAGAGUAAUCUGGAAUAAUGAAAGAUUAGUUAUAAUGUUAAAAUGAAUAUAGAAUAGGAAGAUUGAAAUUAAGUUUUAGGAAGGAACUCGGCAAAUAUAAUGCUCGCCUGUUUAUCAAAAACAUCGCCUUUAUGAUUAUAUUGAAGGUCUAGCCUGCCCACUGAAAGAAUUAAAGGGCCGCGGUAUAUUGACCGUGCAAAGGUAGCAUAAUCAUUAGUCUUCUAAUUAAAGGCUGGAAUGAAUGGUUGGACGAGGUAUUAGCUGUCUCCCUAAAAUUAACUAGAAUUUAACUUUUUAGUCAAAAGGCUAAAAUGGUGUUGGAGGACGAGAAGACCCUAUAGAUCUUUAUAUUUAAAUUGUUUAAUCACUUUAGAGGGUUUAAGAUUUGAUAAGGUUAAUAUUUUGUUGGGGUGACAGGAAGAUAAUAAAAACUAUUUUUAAAGAGAAACAUUGAUAUAUGAUUAAGUGAUCCGUAGUAGCGAUUAAAAGACUAAGUUACCUUAGGGAUAACAGCGUAAUCUUUUUUGAGAGUUCUAAUCGACAAAAAGGGUUGCGACCUCGAUGUUGGACUAAGGGUUAUUCUUGGGUGUAGAAGUUCAAGGUUUGGGUCUGUUCGACCUUUGAAUCCUUACAUGAUCUGAGUUCAGACCGGCGUAAGCCAGGUUGGUUUCUAUCCUCAAUAUUUAAUAAUAUUUUAGUACGAAAGGACCAAAUAUUAGGGACAUUCUUUAAAAUUUGAAUAUCAAUA